GCGGGGCGUCCGAAGUCGCUGAGCAAACCGCAAGGAGGCAGACGCCCACGGUAUGACCGAUGAUUGGGGUGAAGUCGUAACAAGGUAGCCGUAGGUGAACCUGCAGAAGGAUCA
RNAcentral lists this ribosomal RNA (114 nucleotides) under uncultured eukaryote. RNAcentral's name for it is "partial small subunit ribosomal RNA". The record is from RNAcentral.